This 125-nucleotide small RNA is filed under the name Marmota monax (woodchuck). The record is from RNAcentral. Lineage: Eukaryota; Metazoa; Chordata; Mammalia; Rodentia; Sciuridae.
GCCGGGCUAGGUGGCACAUGCCUGUAAUCCCAGCAGCUCGGGAGGCUGAGAAAGGAGGAUUGUGGGUUCAAAGUCAGCCUCAGCAACAGCAAGGUAUUAAGCAACUCAAUGAGACCCUGUCUCUA